RNAcentral lists this ribosomal RNA (730 nucleotides) under uncultured Lactobacillus sp. Its description in RNAcentral is "bacterial SSU rRNA". It matches the Rfam family "Bacterial small subunit ribosomal RNA", at positions 771 to 1501 of the family's 1533-position model. The record is from RNAcentral. Lineage: Bacteria; Bacillati; Bacillota; Bacilli; Lactobacillales; Lactobacillaceae.
AACCGGAUUAGAUACCCUGGUAGUCGAUGCCGUAAACGAUGAGUGCUAAGUGUUGGAGGGUUUCCGCCCUUCAGUGCUGCAGCUAACGCAUUAAGCACUCCGCCUGGGGAGUACGACCGCAAGGUUGAAACUCAAAGGAAUUGACGGGGGCCCGCACAAGCGGUGGAGCAUGUGGUUUAAUUCGAUGCUACGCGAAGAACCUUACCAGGUCUUGACAUCUUCUGCCAACCUAAGAGAUUAGGCGUUCCCUUCGGGGACAGAAUGACAGGUGGUGCAUGGUUGUCGUCAGCUCGUGUCGUGAGAUGUUGGGUUAAGUCCCGCAACGAGCGCAACCCUUAUUGUUAGUUGCCAGCAUUCAGUUGGGCACUCUAGCAAGACUGCCGGUGACAAACCGGAGGAAGGUGGGGAUGACGUCAAAUCAUCAUGCCCCUUAUGACCUGGGCUACACACGUGCUACAAUGGACGGUACAACGAGUCGCGAAACCGCGAGGUCAAGCUAAUCUCUUAAAGCCGUUCUCAGUUCGGAUUGUAGGCUGCAACUCGCCUACAUGAAGUUGGAAUCGCUAGUAAUCGUGGAUCAGCAUGCCACGGUGAAUACGUUCCCGGGCCUUGUACACACCGCCCGUCACACCAUGAGAGUUUGUAACACCCAAAGCCGGUGAGGUAACCUUCGGGGACCAGCCGUCUAAGGUGGGACAGAUGAUUAGGGUGAAGUCGUAACAAGGUAACC